This 20-nucleotide small nuclear RNA is filed under the name Arabidopsis thaliana (thale cress). RNAcentral's name for it is "snRNA_15506". The record is from RNAcentral. Lineage: Eukaryota; Viridiplantae; Streptophyta; Magnoliopsida; Brassicales; Brassicaceae.
UGUGCUCACCACAUGGCUGC